Molecule: long non-coding RNA, 236 nt
Filed under: Lathyrus oleraceus (garden pea)
Lineage: Eukaryota; Viridiplantae; Streptophyta; Magnoliopsida; Fabales; Fabaceae
Description: Pisum sativum (pea) long non-coding RNA (PSAT_LNC014002)
Source: RNAcentral
GGGGAGAGAAUUGAAAGUUGGCUGAAAAUGGGAAAGAUCCAGGGUGGUAAUGCUUCGUCGUCAGGAUCGAAGAAGCCAUUCGGGAAUGGUCAGCGCAAGAAUGAAGGUGAAUCGAGUGCUGUGUAUGCCCAGAGAGGAUACGGUAGGGAUCGUUACUACCAGCACACUGCUGCUGUAACCACCCCUGCUGGUAAUCAGUCAGUCCGACAGCAACGUCAGCCACCUCAACAGAGAGC